RNAcentral lists this long non-coding RNA (868 nucleotides) under Homo sapiens (human). RNAcentral's name for it is "HSALNT0400891". The record is from RNAcentral. Lineage: Eukaryota; Metazoa; Chordata; Mammalia; Primates; Hominidae.
GUAUUUCCGCCGGCGCGAAACGAGCGUAGCUUCCUUGUCGUGUGGCCUCAGUCCUUCGCCGUCCCUCGCCGUCCUUCGCCAUCGCACGCCACCGCACCCCAUCUCUCGAAAUCUGCAGACAUCUUGAUUUUUCCCACGCUGUCUGUCAGGUCUCCGCCGCCACUCGACGCCAGGGCGCCGGGCCUUGUGGGCUGUGCUGCACCUCGGACGGCUUCGCACCAGCCAGCGCCCUCUCUCUCCUGCAGCACUCUGAUCUGCACCCCCUGAGGGGCUUCCACUGUCCGCGGGGUGAGAAUGCCCCUGGGAGUGUCACAUGACUGCCGCCCCAUGUGUGUGAGAGGCGUCCUCUGGGAGAGCAUGGAUCCUGAGGUCCCAGGAUUGUCAGCUGACCUCUGUCCUGUGUGCCCAGUGGCCCCAGGUGACGUGUCUUCAAGAAGAGGCUGAGCUGCGGUGCUUGUAAGGUCUCAGCCUUAGAUCCAAGGACAGUCCAAGGAAGUCCUAAGACCAUGGAGUUGGUGAUCUGGGAUCUGGGUUUGCUGAUAUUUCUCACCGUGAAUCUCUUGGUGGUGUUUGUGGGCACGAGAGGGGCAGAGAAUGGAGAGUGAGGCUACCACAUGAAGCGUCACCAGAGCUGCUCCCUGCUGCCUGCUCAGAGCACCCCGGAUCCACUGUUCAAUCUGCACAAGAUUCGGGGUCCAGACAUGGGAGACUUCAGCUGCCUCAGAGGACCGUGGACAGGGAAGGCCAGCCUCGCAUCCCUCUGUCCAUGCCUGGAAUGACUUUAAUAACCAAGAGUUUUAUUUUUGAAUUUGUAGCUGUCGUUCACUUUUUACCCACCCAUUCAAUAAACCUUACAGAAUUGCUCCAU